GACGAACGCUGGCGGCGUGCUUAACACAUGCAAGUCGAACGAAGUGGCGAACGGGUGAGUAACGCGUAAUCAACCUGCCCAUCAGAGGGGGACAACAGUUGGAAACGACUGCUCAUACCGCAUACUGAAGGAGGGGAUUGCGUGUGAUUAGCAAGUUGGAGGGGUACCGGCCCACCAAGGCGAUGAUCGGUAGCCGGUCUGAGAGGAUGGACGGCCACAAUGGGACUGUGACACGGCCCAGGCUCCUACGGGGGGCAGCAGUGGGGAAUCUUCCGGAAUGGGCGAAAGUCUGACGGAGCAACGCCGCGGGAGUGAUGACGGCCUUCGGGUUGUAAAGCUCUGUUAAUCGGGACGCGGUACCGGAAUAGAAAGCCACGGCUAACUACGUGCCAGCAGCCGCGGUAAUAC
This 408-nucleotide ribosomal RNA is filed under the name uncultured bacterium. RNAcentral's name for it is "partial 16S ribosomal RNA". It matches the Rfam family "Bacterial small subunit ribosomal RNA", at positions 28 to 526 of the family's 1533-position model. The record is from RNAcentral.